UUUUCAUUUAAAGCCCCCCAAACGUUUGACUUUGAAUACUGUUUGACCGCCGAAAUACUAUCAAGAGGGAAAAAGUGUAUUAAUUCUGGUGGGAAUUGACUAGAUUUGUGAUCUACAUCAGAAGCUUUUCACGAUUUAACCAAAACCAUGUGAAAAAAUGGGUGCGAUAUCCUUGUUUAUAUAUUUUUGGACCUUGACCAGGGAGAAGAACUAGUGCCUAUAAAACCACUGAAGAUAGGAAGAAUCAAAAACACCACGGAAGUCAAUGGUGACCCAAAACAGUCUGAGUGCCCACUUUGGCUGAAGUCUUCAUUCAAAUGUAGUUGAAGAUGCUGCGUCUCGUCGGGACAAAGCGGGUGACCUCUUCGCUCAUAUUUAAAGGGAAGCCUGCCUUUGAGCCUGAAAUGGAGACGAGAGCAGACGACCGCAGCGAGGGGAAAUAAAGUCUCUCAUAGACUGACCGACACUUCCAUGUGCUUUGCGAUUCGAUUCCAUACGAAAUGCGUAUUUAUCAUCCAUUUCUACUUUAAUACAAACACGCAUUUAAUUUUUUUUAUAGAAAUAUUACAAUUGCACAUCUCACACAGAGAUCGCACCGCCGUAGUGCGUUCAGAAACAACACAAAUGACCUUCUUUGGAAAAAAAAAAAAAAAAAAAAAAAGAUUUUGGGGGAAAGGUUGCUAGUUAACAAUCUCUUCAGUUUCUCUUAAAUGUAAAUAAGAUGUUUAUUCAAAAACACACAGCAGCUGUAUUUUUAUAUGAUUAGAAAUAUAUAUAUAUAUAUAUAUAUAUAUAAUUUAAUCUUUACUUUUUAACAAUAAGCUUGAUUUCCCUUUUUUAGUUUUAGAUUUAUUGAAGAAUUUCAGACAUAUUAGCAAAAUGGCGCCCGUGCGUAGACUCCUGUACACGGCAUGUACUCCAUAUUCUAUUGUCGAGCCCCUUUGUCUUCAACAAAAAAAUGGUAGGAAACAAAUACAAAUUGAGGAAAAAUAAAAUAAUUAAAUUUUGGUUUACACCUUGGUUUUGUGUGUUUUAGCAUUUUAGAUUAAGAUUCAUAACUUAUUAAACACUUUAUUUUAACCUUGGUAGGUUGCCAGGUCCCCCAGCUGAGAACCACUUUCAGCUCCAUCAGCCAAGCACGUCUGUCCACUAGAGGCCUGCAGUCACUUCCUAAUCUCACCUGGAAGAGUCUCUACGAAGGCUUUGGGGAAGAAGCCUUCUCUGCCAUUGACCCGUCCGCUCCACCAUUCAUCGUCUAUGUGAGCGGUGACCAGGAC
Molecule: long non-coding RNA, 1277 nt
Organism: Puntigrus tetrazona (Sumatra barb)
Lineage: Eukaryota; Metazoa; Chordata; Actinopteri; Cypriniformes; Cyprinidae
Exons: 3
Source: RefSeq, a predicted model, not a curated record